Molecule: unclassified non-coding RNA, 97 nt
Organism: Cavia porcellus (domestic guinea pig)
Lineage: Eukaryota; Metazoa; Chordata; Mammalia; Rodentia; Caviidae
Rfam family: Y RNA
About the family: Y RNAs are components of the Ro ribonucleoprotein particle (Ro RNP), in association with Ro60 and La proteins. The Y RNAs and Ro60 and La proteins are well conserved, but the function of the Ro RNP is not known.
Source: Ensembl
GUCUGGUCCGAUGGCAGUGGGUUAUCAGAACUUAUUAACAUUAGUGUCACUAAAGUUGGUAUACCACCCCCCCCACUGCUAAAUUUGACUGGCUAAA